GUGAAUCAUCGAAUUUUUGAACGCACAUUGCGCUUCCUGGCAUCCCGGGAAGUAUGCCUGUUUGAGGGUCAGUAUUAACAACAAAUCGGUUUGGUUGCAAAUUGUGACGUUUCCGGAGUGUGGGCAAUCUCAACUUUUUUGGUUAAGGAGCUUAAAAUUGACCUUAUUAGCGCAUUUUUAGACGCACAUAAAUUUUUUUUUUAUUCGUUUCUUCUUAAUGCC
This 222-nucleotide unclassified non-coding RNA is filed under the name Glomeraceae sp. RNAcentral describes it as "partial contains 5.8S ribosomal RNA and internal transcribed spacer 2". The stretch from base 1 to 71 matches the Rfam family "5.8S ribosomal RNA", at positions 84 to 154 of the family's 154-position model. Lineage: Eukaryota; Fungi; Glomeromycota; Glomeromycetes; Glomerales; Glomeraceae. The record is from RNAcentral.